UCCGGGGUAGCUCAGCGGUAGAGCGGUUGGCUGUUAACCAAUAGGCCGCGGGUUCGAACCCCGCCCCCGGAGCCA
This 75-nucleotide transfer RNA is filed under the name TM7 phylum sp. oral taxon 346. Its description in RNAcentral is "tRNA-Asn". It matches the Rfam family "tRNA". From Rfam's summary of the family: Transfer RNA (tRNA) molecules are approximately 80 nucleotides in length. Their secondary structure includes four short double-helical elements and three loops (D, anti-codon, and T loops). The record is from RNAcentral. RNAcentral also lists the same sequence under 11 other names. Lineage: Bacteria; Candidatus Saccharimonadota.